Cannabis sativa is the source of this 108-nucleotide small nucleolar RNA. RefSeq annotates it as small nucleolar RNA snoR100. NCBI's taxonomy places the organism in Eukaryota, Viridiplantae, Streptophyta, Magnoliopsida, Rosales, Cannabaceae. The transcript has a single exon. The record is from RefSeq and is a predicted model, not a curated record.
GGAUGAAGGAAGCAUGGUAGUGUGCACGGAAAUUAAAUUAAGGUCCGCAUGUCUGCACUCUUUGAUGCUUCGGCUAUUGAUUAGAGGGCCUGGUUACGACCUAAAUUU